AGCCUCUGACCCUGGCUUACCCUCAUCCCUGGCCUCUGACCGCUGCAUGUCAGUGGCACCACACACACCCAGUUGUGACAACCUAGUGGGGUCUCUAGACCUUGUAAAUGUCCUGGGGAGAGAACCGCUGGUUUAGAGCCUUCUCUGUGACAAGCACUGUGCUAGGAGCAUCAUUAUGUUUGUGGAGAACAUGCUGGGACCAAGGAGAGAGCCCUGCAGCCCACCCGCAGUUACUACUUGACAGCUGCCCUCAGCAUGGAGAUUGGUCGGCUGGGAGUCCAAGCUCAGGCUCACCAGGUCUACCAGCCCUGUAGCCCUGUCAAGCCCCAGCGCCUGCCUGGACUUUAGUUGUGUGUUGAUUUCUCUUAACUCAGUCUGUCUUCACCGUUUAAGUUCCAAAACCUUUGCCUUGGUAGGAAAGACAGGAGUAAAACGGGAGUUUUGCAGUUCUGCUUUCUCACUGUCACCUGUGAACCGCCCACUCUGCCACAAGCACCAGCUUGUCCCUUCCUCUUCGUAUUCACGUGAAACUACUUAACCAAAGCCCCUUCUAUUGUCCUGGGGAUAUUCGCAAGCCUAAGCACAUUCUCCCAACACCCAGCUUACAGGCUGGGGGUGGAGCCUCUGUUGCUGCCUGCCAGGAGGCUUCUUUUGCCCUUUGCCCUUUUUGCCUCUGAGGAAUGAAUUAUUUGUGUAUUCUCAGAAUUUGUAAAAGUCUCCCAUCUUUCUUGAGUCAUCUUCCUGUUUCUAGAGUUUCCAGCUCUGCUUGUCCUGAAAUCUCCUUCCUAAAGUCUAUAAACACUCAUUUUAAUAUUAAAUAUUUAUAUACUAGUAGAGACAGACUAAACACAGAACAUAUGACUCCAAACCCAGAGUAGGAUUAUCCACUCUAUUACUACUACAUCUCCAGGUUUCCAUAUUUACUUUCCCGUUUAUCACAUUAUCUUAGUUUGAGUCCCUCCAGAUACAGACCUAUGAGAAGGAUUUGAGUGUAGGUCAUUUUUUGAAAAGUGAUCCCAGGAGACAUGGGCAAGGGAGUGGAGAAGUGAGGCAAGAAAGGAAGGGAGCUCAUGGAAUGUGUGUUAUCAUGCCCGCGUUUCCACUGUGGGCAAGGAAAGUUUAAUCCCAGUGGGAGCCCUGGGAGGCCCAGGAGCUGCCCCACAGAAGGGAAAGGAGGCUGGAGGUCGAUUCGCCAAAUCCCCGUCCUCGGUGUUUGUGGGCACUUUCCGAGGCAUUAGCUCUGCCUCUGUGGCUUGCCCUGCCUGGGCUUCAUGCCAAGACUCAGGUGCUCCCAGGACACAGGAAAGAGUGUGGGAUGUGGGCACAGACCUAGUCUUCAGCCAUGUUCUGGGUUGACCAUAUGUCCUCAGGUUCCUUUCUUGUCCAUUUCAACAGCCAGGCUUUGGGGGACCAGAAUUAAGGAGUCACUCUCCUUCCUCUGUGUUCUGGGAGAUUACAUUGUCAACAGGGCCUGAACUCCACAUUUAGUGGACUGGAUCUCCGUUAUGGGUCUGGAGAUCCUCUUCACCCCGAGCCUGCUGCUGUGCAAAUUCGGUGAGGGUGUCAGCCAAGGCUCGCCAUCUCCAUGCUCUGCCUGGGACCAAGGUGGGGAGAGGGGUGUGCAGUAAACAGGGGGUCCUGCUUCUCCCUGCUCAGCACCUCAGAGGGACCUCAGGGGCAUUGGGUCGGGCUUCUUUGCCCUGUGUGGCAGCACACCACAGGAGAUGCACCCCUCUCAGUGGGCAGCCUAGGGCCACGCACUCACCCCUGCAUCUUAGGACAAGUGCACUGUGCCCCACCCUCACAGAGGACCCUGCCUCUCUGACCAGCAUCGGUGUCCCAGCCUGGCAGGGACGCUUGCUGUUUUUCUCUGCCAAGACGGCUCUUCUCUUUGAAGAAUUAAGUGUCCCUUCCCCAUCAUAUAUGUCCCCUGUUGGGAGGUGAGGAAUGGCUUCACCCACCCCAAACCAGGGUGUUCUCAUGACCAGGCUCAGCCUAUCAGAAUGCCCCAGCCCCAGGAUUCUCAUGUGUAUGAACAUGCAAGCAAGGUCACUCAGAGCCCUUUCCAGAAUGGAUGUGCACAAAUUAGGAGAGAAAAAUGCCUUUCCCCCGGGGGUUGCCAGGGAGCUAACUAGACAUGGCUGUGACAGGCGAAUAUGUCUGCCAGCCGCUCCCCAUUCCGUGGCCCUGGUUUUCUCUCCUUUAAGACAGAGCCAUGACUGUGGGUGAAGGUGGCGGAAUCUGUGGAGUGAGCUGUAAUCUGGCCAUCCAUCCCCGCAGCGGUGGGCAGUAAACCAGGGUUGAUGCAGCAUUCGAAGCACUUAAAAACAAUGGGCCAGAUGUUCACUUAGAAAUAUGAAUGGAUCUUAAAACCGUAGCCCUGAGAGCUCACAAAAUAACAUUAAAUAUAAAUGGAGUAGUUAGACAAGAUAGCCUUCAAGGUCCCUUCCAGUCCUGUGUUUGUGAACGGUAGUGUGGAUCACAGAGGUUAGAACUAUGAACUUUGUGAUCUGUUUGCCAAGGCCCCAUCCCUCUUUGGUUGUGGGUACCUUCUGAGGUGUUAGCUCUGUCUCUUCCAGGUUGUGGGCCUCAUGCAAAAUCUCAGGUGUUCAGAGGACACAGGACUUGGUUUCAAAUCCCAGAUUUGCCAUGUACUAAUUGCAGGGACCUUGGGUGAGUCACUUAAGUUCUCUGAGCCUCCAUUACCUAACCUGAAAAGCAAGGAUAAUAAUCCCUAUAGAGUGUACUGGACAGUGUAAGAGCUCAAGAAAUGAUGGGCAGUUCUCUUGCACUGGGUUGGCAGCAUUUCUCUGGGGCGGGAGGAAGAUAGACUGUUGAGGGCUUUGCCAAUGUGGAAAAGCCCAGUAGGGAGUAGAGAUGUGGAUAUUGUCUUAAAGGGAAGUGGUGCCCUCCACAGCUUGCCUGGUGUCGCCAGGUGUCCUUCAGGCUCCCAUGGCCCUGGGUCAACCUCGCAUCUGAGAUGGGGCUCUCACCAUGCCAGGCUGAGGCUGGCCAGGCACAGGAGGUAGGUCAGGCCCGUUUUCCAGAACAGCUCUCCCUCCUCCCCCAAGGGCGUUCAUCUCCUGAGGUUGGUCUAAUUCAGGACCUCAGAUGCAGCCCUCUUUUUCCUUCCUCUUGUCACCCCUCCAGCUAUCAGAUCACAAGUAACCCAGAGAACACGUGACUGAGCCCCUGUGAUGUGCUGAGCAUAUAGCUCGGCAUGAUGCCGUGCUCUCCUCAUUGGGGUGCAGUGAACACAGGGCUGGCCCUGGUGGGCUCACCAUCUAGGGGGAGACAGACAGACUUCAUGGGCACCUACGCCUGCACCCGUGUGCAGAGUGCUGAAAUGGGGAAGCGAAAGUGCCACAGGAAUGUGAGGAAGGCCGCCUGACACACUUGGAGCGGGCUUGGGACCUUGGGAAGGCUGCCAGCCCAAAUGGCUAGCUGAAGAGCGAGCCAAGGGUGGGCUGAGGGGGAAUGAGGGAGGCAGGAAACGGGGAUACACAGGACUGAGUGUACAGGCAGAUGGAACAGAGACAAGAGAGUGCUCAGGGCUCCCGAGGGUCCAGGGGAAUGUGAAGGGAGAAGUGGCCGGAGCCGUGGCCAGGCCAUGUGCUGGGCUUGGGAAGCCAUGUCGAGAAGCCAGGGUUUGGUCUUGAGGUUGUGUGGAUCUCGGAAGAGCUUUAAGCCAGAGAGUCUCAGGGAUCGAUUUCUGUCUUAGAAAGACAACUCUGGCUGCUGCAGAAACAUUGGUUUUGAAGGGGAGAGGGCAGAAGGGAGGAAACCUGGUAGGAGGUGUCUCAGUCAUCCAGGUAAGAGUGGCACCAUGUAGGGCAGGGAGGGAGAUGCUGGACAAUGGGGAGGGGAAUGCUGAGGUGGUAGAUUGGGAGAGGGAGGUCCAGGGGAGUCCAAGAUGUCUUGCCUUGUCCUUUGGGUGGUGGGAAGCUGGGAGGAAAAUAGAUUCUUGGGGAAGGCAAGCCUGGUAGAACGUUGGUGGGCACCACGAAGGCUGUCCUGAUACCCCUUCAGUGCAGGGCCUGUUCCCAGAUGCAGGGAGUGCUGUGGGCAGGCAGCCUCCAGGGGUCAGCUCCUUUAGGGACUGCCUUGCCCAAGGUCUUGCCCCUUUCCAAGGCACCCUCUCCUUCGAUUUUGGUGUAUGAACUCCUGGCCACCGUUCCCACCUCAGGACAGCUCUGAAGGGCCAUUUUACCUUCAGUUCUUCUGUGGCAUAGGCUGGGGCUCUCUUUGGACCUGAUUGCUGGUCAGCAUCUCCCUCUGCCCCCUCCAGGUCCUUUCCCCUCCCUUCCACAGGUGACCAUCCCAAGGGCUUUCCUUGGAGGAGAGGCCCUAAAUAUCCUUCUAACUCACUAAACUCCAACUCAGAGUCUGGUUCCCAAUGACCCCCAAGGAAUCAUACCUCUUGUGUCCACACUCCUUUGCAGUGACAUGCAGAGAUGAAGUCUAUUUCUCCACCCCUUGAAUCUGAGCUGGCCUCAUGCCUUGUCUUGCUUUGACAAGGAGAAUGUGUAGAAGUGACUUUCUGGGACUCCAAAGUCCAGACUCAAGUGGACUUGCAAGUUUCACUUUUGCUCUUGGAACCCAGCUGCCACGUAAAAAGUCCAGGCUGUCCUGUUGGAGGAAGACUGUGUGGAGGAGAACUGAGGCCCCCAGCCGACAGCAGACAGCAUGACCCCAGACAUGUGAGUGGGCUCACCUUGGAUCCUCUAGCCCCAGGUGGGCCACUCCAGCCAACACAACAGGGAGCAGAGAUAAGCGUUCCCCCUGAGCCACCCAAAUUCUGACUCACAGAAUUGUGAGUAAUAAAAUGAUUGUUACGUGAAGCCCCUAAGUUUUGGGGCGGCUUGUGAUCAGCAACAGAUAAGUAAAGCUGCAUGGCUGCACCAGCAGGAAAGGCCCAUGGCUCAUGAUCAAGUAGGGCAGGCACCCAUGCAUUAGAAAACCUCGGAGGGACUGGCCUUCCUGCCAGCUACCACAGGGUUAAAUGCAGCUUUUAUCCCCCAAGGAUGAGGCUCAGGCUGUUUUGUCAUCCUGGAGCCCAUCACUGCUCAUCUCAUCUCCACUCCUGGAACAGGGAAAUGCCAGUGUUAUUACCUCUUAAGCCUCUCUGUGUCUGUAGAGAGCAGUGCCUCACUGCCAAAGGAGCAAAUGAGGCCCAGCUUUGUGCAGAAACAUUCAUUGUCCUGCGCUGCUCCAGGCAGAACCCCAGCAUAUAUUUCCCUUCUGUGGGAGCUGGCUCAGACUGCAUCCAUCUCACGAGCUCAUUAUUCAUCUGAUUAUUUUCAUGCCGUCCCAGUGGGAAAUGAAAGCCAUCAAUAAAUCACACCAUUGCUGCAGAUUAUAUUAAACGACCUGGGCAGAAUGCUGGCUGUGCCAGUCUCUGUGACCAUGAGGGCCAGGGCCACUUGUGCAAGGUCCUCCUCCCGGGCUGAAGAACACUUGCUCUGCUUUCACCCCAGACAUGAAGCCACCUCUCCAUUGCCCUUGCUAUCCUUCGUGUGAUUAAAAUCCAUGAGCACAGAAGCCCUGGCCAUGUCAGAAGGCCUGAGUUCAGCCUCUGCGUUAGCUGUGUGACUUGGGGCUGGCUUCUUGGCCUCUCUGAAGCUUGGGGCUCCUCAUCUGUGAAACAUCCAGAAAUCCUUGUUGUGAGGACAAAAUGAGAAAAUGAAUGUGAGAUUUGCACUCUGAGAAGUGCAUAUGUGCACACGGGUGGCAUCCUAUGGUCUUUAUUUCAGAAUAACCGUGACACGUAGAGGGUACCAUGGGAGAGACGUGCUAGAUUGGACAUUGAAGAGCCAUGAGCAAUCACGUACGAUUUCUUAACUUUAGAUCCUCAUGUUUCAAAUGGACCCAGUAGUAUUUGCCCCAUCAAUUUCAUAGAGCUAUUGCGAGGCUCAAAUCAAAUAACAGUUAGGGGAGCCCUUCGGCAAAGUAUUAAGUUGUACAAAUGUAAGCUGCCUUACUGAAUCAUUUCUUCUCUGAACUCUGUUGUUUUGUUUUGUCUGUUUUGCUUUUACCCAUCUUCCUAUUUCUCUGGUUUUCAGUAUUAUUGUGAAUCUUCCCCAAGACAUUCUAAGAUAAUCAAGAAAAUUUGAUCCAGUUGGUUUUUUUGGAAGGAGAAAGCAACUGCUAUUAUUGAGUACUCAUUCCAUUUCAAGCUUUCCAAUAUGUUACCUCAUUUAACAGCCCUCUAAAUGGACAUUAUUUGUCUGUUUUCCUAAGGGAGGGGACUGGGACUCAGAGAGGCCAAGUAUCUGCUCAAAGUCACAGAACGGGAAUUUGAGCUCAGUUCUGUUCCAUCACAUCACACUGGAGACUCAAGAGCACUGUUUUUCUUUCAUUAGAGAAACUUACCCAUAUUUUCACCGCCCCCCCCACUUUUGACCUUUCUUCUCUGUCACAAUUAAGACUCCUUUAGUUAAAACUCUUUGAUGGAUUCAAGGGCCAUGUGAAGUUUUUGAUAGUCCAGACAAUCAUUUUUUCGUGGUGAUGAAAAAAAACAAUAUGAUGAGCUGAUUCACGAGGUGGAAGAACUUUCCCAUGGAUGCGUUACAUCCAAGUGCCUCUGCACCAAGGAACCAUUUCAGGAGAGCCACAGUCUCUAUGGAAGGUUUGAGAACGUGAGAAUGUUGUCUUUUUUAAACAAAGGAUGGACUGAUCACUUUAGGAAGAGAAUUGGUUAGCAUAUCUACUGGGUUCAGGAGAGCCUCGGAAGUAACACCUUCCUACCCUACCCUAGUUUCUGAAUGUCCUGAGAAAUACAGCAAGAGAAUAAGGCAUAUAAACACCAAACUAGCUCCUUUAUGAUUGAACUUGAUAUUUGGGCUUUCUAACCUCAUAUUUGGAUAGAUGUACCCACCUGAAAUAUCGGCUUGGGAAUUUUCGCUCUUGGAGGAGUAUAACAGAAGAUGUGCUUCCUUAGGGCAACCUGUGCCCAAGAGAAAGUGCAGAAGAGGCUGGACUGCACACGCCCACUUUCUCUUUUCUAAUGCUCCAAUCUGAGUGAGGCCAAAAGUCUUACAAAGAAUGGUGUCCCUCCAUGCAGAAUGAGACAUGAGGGGGGAAUAAGCUCCCCCCUGCACCCCCCACCCUCGCCGCCAAACAAUGACAUUGGAGUUUGAGGAAAACAGAAGACUAGCUAGAGCAUUGUAGAAUUUUCUAGAAAAUAUUGUUUUUAAUUGUUGACGUGGAGAGCGGUCCAGAAUGAGACUUUUAGGUUGAUUAAACAGGGAUCAAGGCAUAGAAGAAGAAGAGGGCAAAUGAAGUUUCUUCCUCAGAAAUUACUACCUAAUAAAUGCCAGAGACAUUCUUGUAAACUGAAUAGGCAGUGAAAAAUGGUUGAGACAGAGGACCCCAAUUCGGGGCACCUGUUGGAAGUCCUAAUAAAAAGAUCGCCCAAGUUUGAUUCUGAAGGCUGUACUAGGAGAGGGAGAAAAUACCUUUGGCCCAAACUUUAUUUGACUCAUGUUUCAAGAGCUGGUUUAUUCCAUGCAGAAAAAUUCCACCAAAAAGCAUUUAUGGCAUAGCUUUGACGCUAAAUGAUUGAUUUAGUCUGAAUGAUACAUGUUUGUAAAAGCAACUAUAGUGAUGCCUGGUAAUGAAGGACUAGGUAAUUUGGAUUAGCUCUCCCACUUAGCACAGUAAGAAAAGCCAGACACAAUAUUAUUUUUAAAAAUCUGCUCGAAGACUUUAGUCAGCUAACAUAAUGGUGAAGAGUAUUAAGGAAGAACAGAACUUAUGAGAGCUAAAUUCAGAAUUUGGGGCUCUCAGAGUAUGUUCUCUGACCAACAUUGAAUUAAAUGAGAAAUCAAUAAUAAUAAGAUAUCUAGAAAAACACCUACGUAUUCAAAAUUAAACAAUGUAGUUCUAUAUGAUCCCUGGGUCAAAGAAGAAAUCCCAAGGAAAUUAAAAAGUGUUUCCAACUGCAGGAAAAUGAAAAUACAAUAACUAAAUUUGUGGAUUUAGUUAAACCAGUGUUUAGAGGGAAAUGUAUAGAUUUAAAUGCUUAUAUUAGAAAAGAUGAAAGGUCCAAAACAAAUGCCCAAGUUUAUCCUUUAAAAGCUAAGGGAAAACAAAAAAAGAGAGGCAAAGUAAACCCAAAGUAAGUAGAAUUUAAAAAAGAUAAACGCACAAAUUAAUAUAGAAAAGAUCAAAUAACGCAAAAAAUUAACAAGGUCAAAAGUUGUUUCCUUGAGAAGAUUAACAAAAUUGGUAAAUCAAUCCCUAGCUAUGGUGAUCAUGAAAAUACAGAGAGAAGACGAAUGACUAAUAUCAAGAAUAAAUAAAGCAUUAUUACCACAGACAUUAAAAAGUAAGGGGGUGUUAUAAAUAACUUUAUACCAAAAAAAUCAAUGCCAUAGAUGAAAUGGACACAUAACUUGAAAAAUAUAGUUGCCAGGAAAUGUCACAAAAUGAAACAGAAACUCAGAAUAGCCCUGUAUCUAUUAGAUAAAAUUGAUUGGUUGUUAAAACAACAAGAAGAACAAAACUUCCCGGAAAUAAAACUCUGGGCUCUAAUAUCUUUACUGGUAAAUUCUAUAAAAAAUUGAAGGAUGAAAUAAAAUAAUACCAAUCUUAUAUGAAAUCUCUUGGAAAAUAAAGAAUGUGGGACCACUAUCUGACUAAAUUUUUGAAGUAAGCAUAACCCUCAUACCAAAAAUCUAUGCAAGAUAUGGCAAAAAUAAAGUAAAAUAAAAUUAGAUAAAUACCCCUUAUGAACAGAGAUACAAAAGUUCUUAACAAAAUUUUAGCAAAUUGAAUCCAGAAGGCUAGUGCCCCUGUGUGGCUGCCAGGUCUGAGGGUUUGCAGCAGGGGUCGCUCUUGGUUCAGCAGGCAGGGAAAAGUGAGGACAAGCUGGGGUCCAGAGGGACCCCUGCAUAUGUCUGCCACCACAUCUAACCGUGAUGACCUUCAGAAAGGAACAGCUGCUGUUUCACUUCUACCUUCCAAAUCUAUAUAAGAAAAAAUUGGGGGUUAGGAGAGGCGGACAACUGUACCUGACUUCUUCUACAGGUAACUCAGGGAUUCUGGGAAGCCUAAUUUCGGUUUAGACGAGCUGGCACAUUCCAAACCCUGAAAUCAGCAGAGCAAUGACCUGCAGGGCAGGUUGAUGCUAGUGUCAUCGAGGGGGCACAUGGGGACUUCUGGGGGGCUUGCGACACUUCUAGCCUUGGGUUAUGGCUACGUGGAUGCUCACUCUGUAGCUGUACAUUUUUGUUUUGUGAACUGAACGUAUGUAAUAUUACAAAAUCAAACUAAAAAAAAAAAAAAGCAACCGUGACACGUCUCUUUCCCACUCUACCACCUACUUUGAAACAACUAGGCCAUUCUGUGCUGAUUCUUUCUGGAGAGGAGAUGAUAGCGAAAAUGCAAAGAAAAAAUAGACUUUUCUCCCUGACAUUUUGCAUUUCAAAACUUAAGCUCUUCAGGUAAUGGAAAAUUGCACAGCCACUCUACUGUAUAGACAAAUGUCAGUAGUGGACUUGGAUUAAAGGAAAACCCGGACACAGGCAUUACGUGGGUAAAUCAAACAGUGUUUAUUUAUCUAAAGUAAAAAGAUGGAGGCCAUGAAGUCAGGACACAGAGUGGAGAGACUAGCAACGUUAUUUGGGACAGGCAGAGGUGACCACGCAAUAGGCUCACACUUGUGUAUGAUAAUGUCUGAGCAAGGGUGGCAGCAGACCUUUUUGAAGCUUGACUGCCCCCAUUUGUGCCAGCUUUGUGUCCUGAAGAGAAGUGCAGUUCUAUCUACUAAGACUGGUGCUGUUGUCUUUCUCUACUUCAUCGAGGAGGGUAAUGCCAGGUUUAAAACUGGUGCAGUUCUGCAUAUGGGUGAGUGUGAUUAUGUGCCAGGACCACAUCACCUGAGCCAGAAGCUCUCAUCAGUCUCAGGUGGCACUAUGUGCUACGUGACUCAAAGGACAUAUGGUAUAAUGCAGUCCAUGUGGGCACAAAUGCAGUCUCUUUUGCCAUCCUUCACCUCCCCACAUCACAACAGCCCAGUCUCCAUGCCCAGGUGUCUCUGGGAAUCAUGCUAACAGGCCCUAGGACCAGGGGGAGGACAUAGUGCCAAAGUCAUUGCAACAGGAAGAAAAUAUCACGGGCAAAAGCAAGACUUCUGCCACCCCUGUCCUCCAAACUCCAGAUAAGUCUUCCUUCCCUUCCCUAGGCUGGGGUUAUGCAGAGUUGAGAGAUGUGGUAUUAUAAGCUGUCAUCUCUCUGCUCCUAAAAGCUCUUCUAUACUCUGCUUUAUGACGGUGAAGCUGUAACUUUGCAACUCAGUUUCCUUGUUGCCAACAGCUCCCUGCCAGGUCCCGCUGAUAAGGAACACUAAAGGGAGACCGGAAGACAGGAGGAUGGAGAAGGGUCAUACUCCUGUGUAUUUGCUGUUGCUGUCAGCGUUACCCUGGCAGCAGAGUUGGGUCCAGUUUCCAGUGUUUCUCUAUGAUCCCGCAAUCGACCCAUCACACCCCAUCAGAGGUAACUUAGACCUUCCCUCUGGGCUCUUGUGGUUCAAUGGCAUUAGCUCAUGCCCCCUCCUCAGAGAUUUGAGUCCCAGCUCUGUGAGACCCCUCUUCCAGGGUGCUGAGUUCUGAUCUCUUCCCUUUGUUCUCCCAGUCCUAGGAGUGGUAGCUGUUUCCUGCAGUUACAUGUUUGCAUGACAUCAGUGUUCUUUUUCUGCCUUUUCAGUCCUUUGAUAGCCGUCCAGCCAAUUCCCUCUAUUAAAUCCUCUCAUUGGCUGCUAAUAGGUACGGGUUUUCUCUUUGGUGUGAUGAAAAUUUUCUGGAAUUAGAUAGUGGUAAUGGUUGCACAACCUUGUGAAUAUGCUAAAACCCACUGAAUUGUACACUUUAAAAGGGGGAAUUUUAUGACAUGUGAAGGAUACCUCAUUAAUAUUAUAAAUACUUUAUGUUGAAUUACCUGACUGGAAACUGAUUAAUAGAGCAUUAAUCAAGGAGAGCGUGGUGUCUAAUUUUAUGUGUCAACUUGGCUGGGCCACAGUACCCAGGUCUGUGGUCAGACGUUAUUCUGAGCGUUUCUGUAGGGGUGUUUUGGAUGAGAUUAACAUUUAAAUCGGUGGACUUGGAGUAAGAUAGAUUGCCCUCCAAAAUGUGGGUAGGCUCAUGCAGUCGGGUGAAGGCCUGCACAGAAUAAAAAGACAAGUCUUCCCCAAGCAGGGGAGCAUUCUCCAGCACACUGCCUUUGGACUUCAUCUGCCCAUCUCUUCCCAUUUCUACAUCAGACAGCCUUCGGACCUGAACUAGAACAUCUGCUCUCCUGGGUCUCCAGCCUGCCAGCCCAGCCUGCAGAUUUUGGACUUGCCAGCCUCCAGAAUUAUUAAAAUGGCACCGGCUAUGAACCAGGAAAGGGCCCUCACCAGACCAUGUUGGUGCCUUGAUCUUGGACUUUGCAGCCUCCGAAACGGUGAGAAAUAAAUUUCUGUUGUUUAUAAGUGGUAUUUUGUUAUAGCAGCCUAAACAGACUAAGACAUCAUCUUUUUGCUCCUUCUUUUCCUUCUCCCCUAUCUAUCUAUCUAAUCAUUCAACAAAAUACUUACUGAGCUCCUACUAUCUUCCAGGUCAUAGGAAAAGCCCAAGACAAGCGUUUUUGAAGACCCCAGGGACCAACACUUGAAUAACCUCCCAGAACUUAUUAAAAAUGCAGAUUCCAGACCCCUCUUCCAGGAAUUCCGAUCCAGCAGCUACUAUUCAUUAAGCACUUCCUAGGUACUAGGCAAGAUUCACACGGUGUUGAGGGCACAGAACUCCCUAGAGCUGGUCAAAGAGCCGCCUUGUUUGGACACAUCACCAGCUCAAGUCUCAAGAUGGCAGGGGGGCCAGAACACUUGACUGCAGAAAAGAAUUUAUCCUCCCAAACCGUGGCAUGAAUGAGUAAAGAUGUAAGUACAAGGGCAUUCAUUGUACCAUGGCUUACAAGAGCAAACAUUUGUACAAAUUUAAAUUUCCACGGCAGAGCAUGGUAUAUCUGUGUAGUAGAAUCCUCUUCAGCUCUUAACAAGAAGGUAGAUCCGUGUAGCAGGAGGUAACAUUUUUCUGAGUAUUUGCUGGGCACUGUUCUGAGUGCUUCCCAUCACGACCUUGUUUAACUCACUCAGGUCUUCAUAAAGUAGAUGAUGUUGUCAUCAUCCACACGUUGCAAAAGAGGCACGGAGAGGUUAUUAACCUCCACAAGAUCACACAGCUGUGAAAAGUCAGAGCUGGUAUUUGAACCGGGCAGUGAGGUUCCUGAGACACCAACCAGGAAGGAGGGGUCACUGAUGAAAGUUGUGUUAAGUGAUAAAGCAAGUUGCAGAAAAAUAUAGCAUAACUACAUUUUGGUGAAAAUACAUGUGACUAUAUAUAUAAUAUGUACUAUUUAUAUGUAUGUUGCAUUACAAUAAUUAUGGAAAGUUUAAUUUGGUGGGAGUGAUUGAAGGGGCAGAUUUAUUUUCUUCUGAAAAAACGGUGGGAUUAAAAAAAAUAUAACUAGCUCCCUUCUGUUUUUAUUUUUAUUUUAUUACCCAUGCCCACUUGACUUGCAUGAAAUAAAAAUGGCCCAGUCUGGUAACAAAAAUACAUCCUUGAAAAAUAACAUAUCCUGUUCACACCAGUAAUGAAAAAUCCCAGUUUGGGAAAUACAGCUUUUGAUAGUUAUUAUUUAGCAGUAGAUAAAUUACUUUAAAUAAAGGCUUUAAAAAUGAUUUAAAAGGUAGUAUGUCAUCGUUGUAGAAAAGGUGGAAUUAUAGAGCUGAGAGAGUGAACUGGUCAUCUAGUGGGUUCCAGGAAGCUGGGACCUCCUGAUCUGUGGUCCGUGCUGCAUUUAUUUCUCUCUUUGUUCUCUUCCCAGCAUCCUGUUUCCAUGACAUCCUACUCCAAUCCCCCAAACCCAGAGCAAGCCUGGUCAGGGGUGGGGAGUCACCAUGCAGUUGAAGAGCCCUGACCCAACCAAGUGAUGUCACAGGAGCUGGUCCAGGACGGAGAUCCUGUCCAUUUGCUGGUGGCCAGAGUCACAGGGUCACAAGACCUCCAGCUGCUUGACUCAAAAGGGCGCCCAGGGCACAGCAGGCACUUGGGCUCUGUGGUUCUGUCUGGGGUGAUUUUGCUUCCUGAGGAUAUCCGGCAAUGUCUGGAGACACUUUUAGUUCUUACCACUGGGGAGUGGGUGCUACUGGAAUCCAGGGAGGAGUGGGCAAGGAAGGCUGCUAAACAUACUAUAGACCAAGAAUUACCCAGCCCCAAAUCUCCAUAAGGCUGAGAUUUCAAAACCUGCCCGCCAUUAGAUCCCCUGGUCGGUCUUGCAGCAGGAGGGAUGGGGUCCUGAGGGUCCCACCUGUGGAAGUUCCUUGGCCGGUAUGCCCCUGUUCUAGAGGAGAGGCAGGUUUCUCCAAGGCCAGGUGGAGAGAACCAGCCCAGUCCACCCCAGGCGCUGCAUUUCCCAGGAGCUGGGAGGAAUUAAGUUAUAAUAUACGGACUAACAUUGAUACAGUGUGUGACAGGUGACAGAGUUCUUCCUCUGUGCUGGGGUUCAGUACAGGCUGGGGUCCUCUGCACUGCCGCCCAUAUUGUUGGGGUCCUGGACAGGUUGGGGGGAAGGGGAAAGGCUACAUCUGCUUCUCAUUCUUUCAUGAAACGAGUUCCUUGUCAUAAACUCCCCCGUCUCCCUUUGAUCACAACUCUGACGGUUCAAACCCUUCAUGUUAUUGCAGGUUCCACUUGUGGGUAGGAGGCCUUCCCCAGCAGAUGUGAAGGCAAACAUACUCUUUCUCCCCAUGCUGUGGUAUCCUGGAGACUGGUGAGCCGGAGCUAGGAUGCCAUGACAUCAGCUCCUGGACCUGAGCUGGCACAGAGCGUGCCCAGGCAGUGUUUGCCGAGAGGAUGAAUAGAAGAGGGUCACCUUCCUUUUGACUCCUUAGGGUGAGUCUUCAGCCUUCUUUGGAAGAAGAUUUGGAAGUGAGGAAGAGAAGGCUAUGGGUCAGGAAAGCAAUUGAGUGGCUCACAGAAUCCCGAGGAAGAAGAACACUCGGACCUUCUAAAGGCACAGGGACAAAAGGAAGAACCACAAGCAAAAUCACUCCCCAGGGCUUCCCUGGUGGCGCAGUGGUUGAGAGUCCGCCUGCCGAUGCAGGGGACACGGGUUUGUGCCCCGGUCCGGGAAGAUCCCACAUGCCGCGG
Long non-coding RNA from Aethalodelphis obliquidens (Pacific white-sided dolphin), 14189 nucleotides. RefSeq lists it as uncharacterized. The transcript is spliced from 6 exons. Lineage: Eukaryota; Metazoa; Chordata; Mammalia; Artiodactyla; Delphinidae. The record is from RefSeq and is a predicted model, not a curated record.